RNAcentral lists this ribosomal RNA (263 nucleotides) under uncultured bacterium. RNAcentral describes it as "partial 16S ribosomal RNA". It matches the Rfam family "Bacterial small subunit ribosomal RNA", at positions 92 to 353 of the family's 1533-position model. The record is from RNAcentral.
UGAGCGGCGGACGGGUGAGUAACGCGUGGGUAACCUGCCUCAUACAGGGGGAUAACAGUUGGAAACGGCUGCUAAUACCGCAUAAGCGCACAGUACCGCAUGGUACCGUGUGAAAAACUCCGGUGGUAUGAGAUGGACCCGCGUCUGAUUAGGUAGUUGGUGGGGUAACGGCCUACCAAGCCGACGAUCAGUAGCCGACCUGAGAGGGUGACCGGCCACAUUGGGACUGAGACACGGCCCAAACUCCUACGGGAGGCAGCAUG